This 89-nucleotide transfer RNA is filed under the name Laticauda laticaudata (blue-ringed sea krait). It matches the Rfam family "tRNA". Rfam says of the family: Transfer RNA (tRNA) molecules are approximately 80 nucleotides in length. Their secondary structure includes four short double-helical elements and three loops (D, anti-codon, and T loops). The record is from Rfam by way of RNAcentral. Lineage: Eukaryota; Metazoa; Chordata; Lepidosauria; Squamata; Elapidae. RNAcentral also lists the same sequence under 3 other names.
GCUCCAGUGGCGCAAUCGGUUAGCGCGCGGUACUUAUACAGCAGUACUAAGCAAUGCCGAGGUCGUGAGUUCGAGCCUCACCUGGAGCA